This 27-nucleotide non-coding RNA is filed under the name Mus musculus (house mouse). The record is from RNAcentral. Lineage: Eukaryota; Metazoa; Chordata; Mammalia; Rodentia; Muridae.
UGGCUACACAGGGAUCGUGUGAUGUGU